UGGGGAAUAUUGGACAAUGGGGGCAACCCUGAUCCAGCAAUGCCGCGUGUGUGAAGAAGGUCUUCGGAUUGUAAAGCACUUUCGACGGGGACGAUGAUGACGGUACCCGUAGAAGAAGCCCCGGCUAACUUCGUGCCAGCAGCCGCGGUAAUACGAAGGGGGCUAGCGUUGCUCGGAAUGACUGGGCGUAAAGGGCGUGUAGGCGGUUUACACAGUCAGAUGUGAAAUCCCCGGGCUUAACCUGGGAGCUGCAUUUGAUACGUGUAGACUAGAGUGUGAGAGAGGGUUGUGGAAUUCCCAGUGUAGAGGUGAAAUUCGUAGAUAUUGGGAAGAACACCGGUGGCGAAGGCGGCAACCUGGCUCAUUACUGACGCUGAGGCGCGAAAGCGUGGGGAGCAAACAGGAUUAGAUACCCUGGUAGUCCACGCCUGUAAACGAUGUGUGCUAGAUGUUGGGUAACUUUGUU
RNAcentral lists this ribosomal RNA (466 nucleotides) under uncultured bacterium. RNAcentral's name for it is "partial 16S ribosomal RNA". It matches the Rfam family "Bacterial small subunit ribosomal RNA", at positions 355 to 837 of the family's 1533-position model. The record is from RNAcentral.